Molecule: ribosomal RNA, 435 nt
Filed under: uncultured Streptococcus sp.
Lineage: Bacteria; Bacillati; Bacillota; Bacilli; Lactobacillales; Streptococcaceae
Description: bacterial SSU rRNA
Rfam family: Bacterial small subunit ribosomal RNA
Source: RNAcentral
UUCGAUGCAACGCGAAGAACCUUACCUGGCCUUGACAUGGUAGGAACCCUGUAGAGAUACGGGGUGCUAGCUUGCUAGAGCCUACACACAGGUGCUGCACGGCUGUCGUCAGCUCGUGUCGUGAGAUGUUGGGUUAAGUCCCGCAACGAGCGCAACCCCUAUUGUUAGUUGCCAUCAUUCAGUUGGGCACUCUAGCGAGACUGCCGGUAAUAAACCGGAGGAAGGUGGGGAUGACGUCAAAUCAUCAUGCCCCUUAUGACCUGGGCUACACACGUGCUACAAUGGUUGGUACAACGAGUUGCGAGUCGGUGACGGCGAGCUAAUCUCUUAAAGCCAAUCUCAGUUCGGAUUGUAGGCUGCAACUCGCCUACAUGAAGUCGGAAUCGCUAGUAAUCGCGGAUCAGCACGCCGCGGUCGAAUACGUUCCCGGGCCUU